Molecule: non-coding RNA, 601 nt
Organism: Paramuricea clavata
Lineage: Eukaryota; Metazoa; Cnidaria; Anthozoa; Malacalcyonacea; Plexauridae
Source: the annotation of a GenBank genome assembly
CACAAACAUAUUAUUCACCUGAGUACACAACACCAGCACAGAAAAAAAAAAAAUUCAUAUUACAAGAACACAUUGGUAUUGAAGGAACUAGAUACUGUUCCGAAAUAUCACUUACUCGAACCGUCCUGACCGCGUAGCUCAAUUGGAAGAGCAUUGGGCUAGUAUUCCAAAGGUCAUAGGUUCGAAUCCCACCGUGGCCGGGCAUAUUUUUCAAGCUCGCCCGGUGUGGAUAUUCACUCAGAGUAACAUCGCAAACGUAUUAUUCACCUGAGUACACAACACCAGCACAGAAAAAAAAAAAAAUUCAUAUUACAAGAACACAUUGGUAUUGAAGGAACUAGAUACUGUUCCGAAAUAUCACUUACUCGAACCGUCCUGACCGCGUAGCUCAAUUGGAAGAGCAUUGGGCUAGUAUUCCAAAGGUCGUAGGUUCGAAUCCCACCGUGGCCGGGCAUAUUUUUCAAGCUCGCCCGGUGUGGAUAUUCACUCAGAGUAACAUCACAAACAUAACAGUUAUAAUGCUAUAUCUAGUUAAAAUAUAAUGUAUAUAUCUUAAGGCCGUACAAACGAUUUUUGUCUUCUCUAGAACGUACACUUCAGG